This 591-nucleotide long non-coding RNA is filed under the name Mytilus galloprovincialis (Mediterranean mussel). Lineage: Eukaryota; Metazoa; Mollusca; Bivalvia; Mytilida; Mytilidae. The record is from RNAcentral.
GUUUUCCUUCAAGUACUACAGUUUAGUACGCCACUAAAAUGGACUGCCAUGAAAUUACCCAUACGGUUUAGAAAGUGAUGUUUAUAAAACCAAAGCAAACAAUCAAAGUUUUAAAUCUUUGUUCAUUUGUACAAGGAGCCGUAGUGGUUGAGCCAUUUAACUUAUGGUAAUUUUACCAAACUGUGACCACAACUUCAAGAUGUGACAUCAGGCCUCUGUUCAAUGGGCAGUCCCACAAUAAAAGUUCAAUUUUCACGUCAUACAUUUUAUAUGGUUAAUUUGUCAGUUUCCUGCCUCAGUUCUGUGUUUUUUUCUGGGUACUUUGGCCAAUAAAACUGACUGUCUUACAUGAAAUUAUCCAUAUGAUGUAGAAUGUGACAUUGACGGUUGACCCCUUUCAAAGAAACCACCAGCAUGUACACACAACAAUGCUGCAAUGCUUUAGACAACAUUGAUCUAGAGACUUCAUGAUUUACAUGAUUAAAGCUUUUAAAUGUAAAAAAAAAAAAAAAAAUUCCCUACCUACCUACCCACCUGCUGAUAGUGUGGGUCGGCAAUGCCAAACAAACAAUUUUUUAAGGGUGGCCUCAG